This 403-nucleotide ribosomal RNA is filed under the name Verrucomicrobiota bacterium. RNAcentral's name for it is "Verrucomicrobia bacterium partial 16S ribosomal RNA". It matches the Rfam family "Bacterial small subunit ribosomal RNA", at positions 355 to 776 of the family's 1533-position model. Lineage: Bacteria; Pseudomonadati; Verrucomicrobiota. The record is from RNAcentral.
GGGGGAAUAUUGCACAAUGGGGGAAACCCUGAUGCAGCGACGCCGCGUGAGCGAAGAAGGCCUUCGGGUCGUAAAGCUCUGUUAGAUGGGAAGAUAAUGACGGUACCACAAGAAAAAGCUCCGGCUAACUGCGUGCCAGCAGCCGCGGUAAUACGUAGGGGGCUAGCGUGGUCCGGAAUGACUGGGCGGAAAGGGUUCGCAGGCGGCAAUGCAAGUCAGAUGUAAAAGGCAAAGGCUCACCCUUUGUAAGCAUCUGAAACUGUAUAGCUUGAGAAGUGUAGAGGCAAGUGGAAUUUUUAGUGUAGCGGUGAAAUGCGUAGAUAUUAAGAAGAAUACCGGUGGCGAAGGCGACUUGCUGGGCACAAUCUGCCGCUGAUGAACGAAAGCGUGGGGGGCAAACAGG